Molecule: ribosomal RNA, 710 nt
Filed under: uncultured bacterium
Lineage: Bacteria
Description: bacterial SSU rRNA
Rfam family: Bacterial small subunit ribosomal RNA
Source: RNAcentral
CCUGCCUUCAAGAGGGGGAUAACAUUCUGAAAAGAAUGCUAAUACCGCAUGACAUAUCGGAACCACAUGGUUCUGAUAUCAAAGAUUUUAUCGCUUGAAGAUGGACUCGCGUCCGAUUAGUUAGUUGGUGAGGUAACGGCUCACCAAGACCGCGAUCGGUAGCCGGACUGAGAGGUUGAACGGCCACAUUGGGACUGAGACACGGCCCAGACUCCUACGGGAGGCAGCAGUGGGGGAUAUUGCGCAAUGGGGGCAACCCUGACGCAGCAACGCCGCGUGAAGGAUGAAGGUUUUCGGAUUGUAAACUUCUUUUAUUAAGGACGAAAAAUGACGGUACUUAAUGAAUAAGCUCCGGCUAACUACGUGCCAGCAGCCGCGGUAAUACGUAGGGAGCAAGCGUUGUCCGGAUUUACUGGGUGUAAAGGGUGCGUAGGCGGCUUUGCAAGUCAGAUGUGAAAUCUAUGGGCUCAACCCAUAAACUGCAUUUGAAACUGUAGAGCUUGAGUGAAGUAGAGGCAGGCGGAAUUCCCCGUGUAGCGGUGAAAUGCGUAGAGAUGGGGAGGAACACCAGUGGCGAAGGCGGCCUGCUGGGCUUUAACUGACGCUGAGGCACGAAAGCGUGGGUAGCAAACAGGAUUAGAUACCCUGGUAGUCCACGCUGUAAACGAUGAUUACUAGGUGUGGGGGGUCUGACCCCUUCCGUGCCGGAG